Non-coding RNA from Bombyx mori (domestic silkworm), 85 nucleotides. NCBI's taxonomy places the organism in Eukaryota, Metazoa, Arthropoda, Insecta, Lepidoptera, Bombycidae. The record is from Rfam.
CUGACUCAAAUUUGUAAGGAGUUGGAACAGUGUCUCUACGUUUGCCGCUAGGGGCGCUGUUCCAACUCCAUACAAAUUUGAGUCA